CUUCUACUCCCCCUGUUCGGAAUUACUUGUCACAAAAAUGGAUGUAUCUACAACUAAAAUACAUCUAGAUACAUUCAUUUCUUGGACGAGUAAUUCCGAACGGAGGGAGUAUUAG
Non-coding RNA from Triticum aestivum (bread wheat), 115 nucleotides. The record is from Rfam. Lineage: Eukaryota; Viridiplantae; Streptophyta; Magnoliopsida; Poales; Poaceae.